UGCUCAGAUGCAGCCCAUCUGGCCUCAGAGACUUGUUUGGGCUCCUAAAGAGAUCUCAGCCUACACAGAUCCUCUUCCACUGCUGGAAGCUCCUCUGCUCCUGAACUUUUUCUCAAGGCAUUGGAGCUCAGUCCUAAGUUUCCUGCUCAGUCAGCCCAGCCUCCUGAUGCGUUUACUUGACUCGUUAAGCUGUGUGUAUGCUUUACUGCAUUUCUGGUUCACUGCAGUUGCAGAGGAAAAGUAGCACUGGCAGUCCACACCACAUGGGAACCCAAAUUUUCAGUAGUUACACAGGGGUAGUCAGGAGCAGUUCCAGCUGAGAGAGAAUCCAAUACACUUCCUGCUGAAUAAACAAUACGAAUAUAGUAAAAUGGAAUAGAAUAGAGUACAAUAGAACAUCUCAGUGACCUACAAAGAUUGUCAAGUCCAUCUAUCCAACCACUUCAGGACUAACCAAAAGUUAAAGACAUCCUACUGGCUCGUAAACACUGCCAAUCAAUGGGACAUCAAUGACCUGAGGAAGCCUUUUCCAGUGUCUGACCACCCUCACAGUAAAGAAUUUUUUUUCCUGAUAUUCAGUUUGAACCUCCUCUUGUGCAUCUCUGUGCCAUUGUGCCUGUCUUAAUGAAAGUGGUAUGAGUAAAGCCCACCAACUUUCCGACAGCUGAUUGACAAAACUGCAACAGCUGAAAAAGAUUUGAAGAAGAGCAGCAGGUUCUGUGCCUGGAAAAGAAGUCUGUAUUCUUCAACUUACUGGUAUCAGAUAAAAGGUUUUGGAUGUUGCACAGCGCUUAAUCCAUAAAAGUGAACUUGGAUUAAAGGAUGAGUAUUUGUAAGUCAAUUUGAAAGGAUUUUGAGCUCUUUUUUUUUGGAUUAUGUCUAAUGACUUAUCAAAAAGUGAUCAAAUAUAUGAAAAAAUAGCUGGCUGGUCUUCAGGUUACAGUUAUUGACAGGAAGAUGUGGGGAAUUUCCAUUAUGUUUGCCUGAUCUUUUAAAAACACAAAUACAAUUGGUUACCAACCCAACUGGAAAUCUUGUCAUUCAGUCUGCAAAUCUGUGGACCUGCUUUCCACAUAUUCCUUUACCUAUUUUUAAUUGAUAAAUCAGAAACAUGCAAAUAAUUUUUCUGUAUCUAUUCGCUUCUCUCAUUAAAGACUAACUGUGAAAGGCAAUGUAGCGUAGGUAGUAAGUGUUUCUGAAUAACGGUUGCAUUAGAUGCUCCUUUUCAAAUGAAAGGAGUGCCCCCUGCAAGGUAUUUGUCCUCCCAGUUGCUGAAGUGUUUGCAGAAGAACUCCUUACUUGCCCUUGGCCUUUAGCUACCACUAAUCCUUUUCAUACAGCUGACCAAGAAGCCUGACAUCUCAUCAGUGAUUUACUUUGUCCUUAACUUGUUGAGCUAUGAAGAAUAUAGCAUGUCAAUCAGUAAAAAACUAUGUGCUAUCAGCUAUCACUUAUUUGUCUUAAAAUCAUCACAUUCAAAAACCACAUUUCAUGUUCAUUGAAAGCCAUGUUCCAAUGUCCUCAUGUUUGGUGGUUUGUUUGUUUGUUUGUUUGCUUUUUUAGGAAAGAAGCGUGUUUUAUGAGACUGAAUACAUUUUAAGUUUAAGAAAAGGAAAGAUAAUGACUUGUAAUAUAGACACAGAUAUGCAGUAUGAUAGCUAUCACCAGGCUGAAUUAGAAUCAGCUCCACUGAAGUCAAAUGGUGCAACAUGUGAAACUGCAAUGAAAUAAAAUCAAUACUGGAUACAU
Gallus gallus (chicken) is the source of this 1749-nucleotide long non-coding RNA. Lineage: Eukaryota; Metazoa; Chordata; Aves; Galliformes; Phasianidae. The record is from Ensembl.